CCCACACUCUGUGUGUUAAUGUACAUGCACUUCAGCUGGGCUGAGGAUUUUACCCAACUCUGUUGAUAAAACAGACUAGAAGAUGUUAAAGAACACCAGAUAGUGCUUUAUUCAUUCUGGAAACUCAAUGCCAACUGGAACAUCAGCUUCCAUUUAUCCUCCAGGGAUCACUGGAUGGUGUGAAUAAUACAGAACAAUGUCAUCUCUCUCUGCUUACACUAUAUAGUCUGCAUGACUUCUAUAUUAAUAACACGCACCCUUAAGGAUUA
Molecule: long non-coding RNA, 269 nt
Organism: Cyanistes caeruleus (blue tit)
Lineage: Eukaryota; Metazoa; Chordata; Aves; Passeriformes; Paridae
Source: RefSeq, a predicted model, not a curated record